RNAcentral lists this ribosomal RNA (2193 nucleotides) under human gut metagenome. RNAcentral describes it as "bacterial LSU rRNA". It matches the Rfam family "Bacterial large subunit ribosomal RNA", at positions 3 to 2286 of the family's 2925-position model. The record is from RNAcentral.
UUAAGCUAAUAAGAGCGCAGGGAGGAUGCCUUGGCAUCAGGAGCCGAAGAAGGACGUGGUAAGCUGCGAAAAGCUACGGGGAUUGGCAAGCACGAUAUGAUCCGUAGAUAUCCGAAUGGAGCAAUCCACAUGGAGUCAAGUCCAUGUAUCAUAUACUGAAUAAAUAGGUAUAUGAGGGGAACCGCCCGAACUGAAACAUCUAAGUAGGGCGAGGAAAAGAAAUCAACCGAGAUUCUGUGAGUAGUGGCGAGCGAAAGCGGAAGAGGCUAAACCGAGAGGAGCAAUCCUUUCGGGGUUUAGGACUGCAUUUAGUACAAUGAUUGUUAACCGAACAGCAUGGGAAGGCUGAUCAAAGAAGGUGAGAAUCCUGUAGGUGAAAACGAAAGUUGACGAGCAGUAUCCAAAGUACCGCGGGGCACGUGAAAUCCCGUGGGAAGAUGGGGGGACCAUCCUCCAAGCCUAAAUACUACCUGAUGACCGAUAGCGAAUAGUACUGUGAAGGAAAGGUGAAAAGCACCCCGGGAGGGGAGUGAAAGAGAACCUGAAACCCUGUGCUUACAAGCACUUAGAGCACGUCAAAGUGUGAUAAGGUACCUAUUGUAGAAUGGUCCGGCGAGUUAUUGUAUGCAGCGAGGUUAAGUAGUUCAGCUACGGAGCCGAAGUGAGAGCGAGUGUUAACAGCACGUUCAGUUGCAUGCAAUAGACCCGAAACCGGGUGACCUAUCCAUGUCCAGGAUGAAGUGAGGGUAAAACCUCAUGGAGGUCCGAACCCACUCCCGUUGAAAUGGUAGGGGAUGAGGUGUGGAUAGCGGAGAAAUUCCAAUCGAACCCGGAUAUAGCUGGUUCUCCCCGAAAUAGUUUUAGGACUAGCCUCGUGAUUAAGAUUAUCGGAGGUAAAGCACUGAAUGGCCUAGGGGUCGAGAGAUUACCGAAGCCUAUCAAACUCUGAAUGCCGAAUAAUCAUGCACGGGAGUCAGACUGUGUGAGAUAAGUUUCAUAGUCGAAAGGGAAACAGCCCAGACCUACAGCUAAGGUCCCAAAGUACGUUUAAGUGGAAAACGAUGUGAAAUUGCGUAGACAACCAGGAUGUUGGCUUAGAAGCAGCCAUACAUUAAAAGAGUGCGUAAUAGCUCACUGGUCGAGUGACUUUGCGCGGAAAAUUUAACGGGGCUAAAACGUACACCGAAGCUUAGGCUUGUCACAAUGUGACAGGGGUAGGGGAGCGUUGAACGAGGGGUGAAGUCGUAGCGAAAGCGACGGUGGACUUCAUUCAAGUGAGAAUGCCGGAAUGAGUAGCGAGAAUUAUGUGAGAAUCAUAAUGGCCGAAAGCCUAAGGUUUUUGGAGGAAGGUUCGUCCGCUCCAAGUAAGUCGGAAGCUAAGGUGAGGCUGAAAAGCGUAGCCGAUGCACAAACGGUUGAAAUUCCGUUACCACAGAAAGAUUUAAACUAAGGGACACUUUUGAAGAGCUGAUGCCGGGUGUUGGUUACCCCGGUCGUAAGGGAACGAAAUUAAGUAGUGAAGUCAGCGUGGAUGAAGGCGAGAAAAGCUUAGUGUAUAUCUUAUGUGUCCGUACCGCAAACCGACACAGGUAGGUAGGAAGAGAAUUCUAAGGCCAACGGGAGAAGGGUAGUUAAGGAACUCGGCAAAAUGUCCCCGUAACUUCGGAAUAAGGGGAGGUUUCUACGGAAACCCGCAGAGAAUAGUCCCAGGCAACUGUUUAUCAAAAACACAGCUCUAUGCUAAAUCGAAAGAUGACGUAUAUGGGGUGACGCCUGCCCGGUGCCGGAAGGUUAAGAGGAGGAGUGAGAGCCCUGAAUCGAAGCCCCGGUAAACGGCGGCCGUAACUAUAACGGUCCUAAGGUAGCGAAAUUCCUUGUCAGGUAAGUUCUGACCCGCACGAAUGGCGUAAUGAUCUGGGAGCUGUCUCAACUGCCCGCCCGGCGAAAUUGUAGUACCGGUGAAGAUGCCGGUUACCCGCGACUAGACGGAAAGACCCCAUGGAGCUUUACUGUAGCUUAAUAUUGGAUUUCGGCAUUUCAUGUACAGGAUAGGUGGGAGACUAGGAAACAUAGGCGUCAGCUUAUGCGGAGUCGUCCUUGGGAUACCACUCUUGGAGUGCUGAAAUUCUAACCUGCAGCCCUGAAUCGGGUUGGGGGACAUUGUUAGGUGGGCAGUUUGACUGGGGCGGUCGC